Long non-coding RNA from Poecilia reticulata (guppy), 727 nucleotides. RefSeq lists it as uncharacterized. Lineage: Eukaryota; Metazoa; Chordata; Actinopteri; Cyprinodontiformes; Poeciliidae. The record is from RefSeq and is a predicted model, not a curated record.
UCCGGUUUAUUCCGGUGUUCUGACUGGAUUUACGGGCAGCACAGGUAAACACAACACCUGUUUCUAAGGACCUGUGAGGUCAGAGGUGACAACGAACUACAGGCCGCAGGCGUCCAGUCUGACCGCUUCCCUCUCGCUCUCCAGCUUCCCCUGCCGCUCAGCGUGACUUCCCAGAAUCCCCUGUGGCGUGAGAAGAGAAGCAGCUCUGCUUUCUGAUUGCACCGCAGCGUCUGAGUGGAGGAAUGACAGCUGAGGAGGUGAAAGGAGCCACCAGAGCCUCUCCAUCCGGCGGCCGGCCUCCGGCGCGGCGCGCUCCAGAGGUUGGAUUUGUCUAAUUGAAUUAGCGCCUGUGGCCUCUUGAAUGUGCAGCAUCAACAAGGGUUUAAUGGGAGUCAAAGCUUGGAAAGGAGCAAUAAUUCGCUGGCAAACAACACUAUGAAGAACGCCAGCCACCAGAUUAGUGCUGACAAACUGUAAUUGGAUUUCCUGUACACUUAAUUGAAUUGGACUAAAUGAGCAUUUGCCAGUUUGUUUGUUUUUUUUUGUUGUUGCCUUGAAUUCGGGUUACAGCCGGCAUGGAGAGGAGGGCAGAGUGCCAAACAUUUACCCAGGCAAAAGCACUGAGUUACUGUCAAAUGAUCAAUUAGUUAGUGUUUAAAAUUUACAUCAUCUGAGGAGCAAAAUAUAAAGUGGAAAAUUUGACAAUAAUUCAUAUUUCCUGGUUCUG